UAUGGCUUAGUAUAUGGUGUACGAAAGUUUUUGAUAUUUUUAGAAAUAGUUUAAUCCUAUUAGUCAUAA
RNAcentral lists this transfer RNA (69 nucleotides) under Tasgius compressus. RNAcentral's name for it is "tRNA-Gln". Lineage: Eukaryota; Metazoa; Arthropoda; Insecta; Coleoptera; Staphylinidae. The record is from RNAcentral.